This 216-nucleotide long non-coding RNA is filed under the name Mytilus galloprovincialis (Mediterranean mussel). Lineage: Eukaryota; Metazoa; Mollusca; Bivalvia; Mytilida; Mytilidae. The record is from RNAcentral.
AACAACAUUUGACAACCAAUGGCUGCCAUAAAUAAACAGGAAGUGUGGGAAAAUACUAAAACCAGAUCAAAUCCGGAAACGGACAAGUAUAUAAUUCCGGGUUUGUCAAUCAAAUACAGUUAAAAAAAAAUGAAAAGAACCAAACAUGUGACAGCUAUCAUAGCAACACUAAAAUUGAAAAGUAAAAGAUAUAUAUAAAAGAAAAUAGAAACAGGA